RNAcentral lists this ribosomal RNA (253 nucleotides) under uncultured bacterium. RNAcentral describes it as "partial 16S ribosomal RNA". It matches the Rfam family "Bacterial small subunit ribosomal RNA", at positions 524 to 776 of the family's 1533-position model. The record is from RNAcentral.
UACGUAGGGUGCAAGCGUUGUCCGGAAUUAUUGGGCGUAAAGAGCUCGUAGGCGGUUUGUCGCGUCUGCUGUGAAAACUCGGGGCUUAACCCCGGGCCUGCAGUGGGUACGGGCAGACUAGAGUGCGGUAGGGGAGACUGGAAUUCCUGGUGUAGCGGUGAAAUGCGUAGAGAUCGGGAGGAACAUCAGUGGCGAAGGCGGCCCUCUGGACCAGUACUGACGCUGAGGCACGAAAGCGUGGGGAGCAAACAGG